Molecule: ribosomal RNA, 554 nt
Filed under: uncultured bacterium
Lineage: Bacteria
Description: partial 16S ribosomal RNA
Rfam family: Bacterial small subunit ribosomal RNA
Source: RNAcentral
UGAGGAAUAUUGCGCAAUGGGCGAAAGCCUGACGCAGCGACGCCGCGUGGAGGAUGAAGGUUUUCGGAUUGUAAACUCCUGUUAAGUGGGAAGAAACGACAAAAUAUAAUACAUUUUGUAACUGACGGUACCAUUAAAGAAAGCACCGGCUAACUUCGUGCCAGCAGCCGCGGUAAUACGAGGGGUGCAAGCGUUAUUCGGAAUUAUUGGGCGUAAAGGGUGCGUAGGCGGCGUAUUAAGUCAACUGUUAAAACCUCCAGCCUAACUGGAGAUCAGCAGUAGAUACUGGUAUGCUAGAGGAUGGAAGAGAGAAGUGGAAUUCUUGGAGUAGCGGUGGAAUGCGUAGAUCUCAAGAGGAACACCAAUGGCGAAGGCAGCUUCUUGGUCCAUAUCUGACGCUGAUGCACGAAAGCGUGGGGAGCAAACAGGAUUAGAUACCCUGGUAGUCCGCGCCGUAAACGAUGAUCACUAGAUGUUAAUUCUGCUUGCAGAAUUAGUGUCGUAGCUAACGCGAUAAGUGAUCCGCCUGGGGGACUACGGUCGCAAGAUUAAAA